RNAcentral lists this ribosomal RNA (553 nucleotides) under Exidia glandulosa. Its description in RNAcentral is "eukaryotic LSU rRNA". It matches the Rfam family "Eukaryotic large subunit ribosomal RNA", at positions 81 to 615 of the family's 3401-position model. The record is from RNAcentral. Lineage: Eukaryota; Fungi; Basidiomycota; Agaricomycetes; Auriculariales; Exidiaceae.
UARUAACGGCGAGUGAAGAGGGAAGAGCUCAAAUUUGAAAUCUGGCGGUCUCAGGCCGUCCGAUUUGUAAUCUAGAGAGGUGUUUUCCGUGCCGGACCGUGUACAAGUCCCUUGGAACAGGGCGUCAUAGAGGGUGAGAAUCCCGUCCAUGACACGGACUCCCGGUGCUCUGUGAUACACCUUCAAAGAGUCGAGUUGUUUGGGAAUGCAGCUCAAAAUGGGUGGUAAAUUCCAUCUAAAGCUAAAUACAGGCGAGAGACCGAUAGCGAACAAGUACCGUGAGGGAAAGAUGAAAAGAACUUUGGAAAGAGAGUUAAACAGUACGUGAAAUUGUUGAAAGGGAGACGCUUGAAGUCAGUCGCGUCUGCCGGGACUCAGCCUUGCUUUUGCUUGGUGCACUUCUCGGUGGAUGGGCCAGCAUCGAUUUUGAUCGCCGGAAAAGGGUGGGAGGAAUGUGGCAGCUUGCUGUGUUAUAGCCUCCUAUCGUACACGGUGGUUGGGAUCGAGGAUUGCAGCACGCCUUUGGUCGGGGUUCGCCCACGCCACGUGCUUA